Molecule: ribosomal RNA, 460 nt
Filed under: uncultured bacterium
Lineage: Bacteria
Description: partial 16S ribosomal RNA
Rfam family: Bacterial small subunit ribosomal RNA
Source: RNAcentral
CCUACGGGGAGCAGCAGUGAGGAAUAUUGGUCAAUGGGCUUACGCCUGAACCAGCCAAGUCGCGUGAGGGAAGACUGCCCUAUGGGUUGUAAACCUCUUUUGUCAGGGAGCAAUUGGCGCUACGUGUAGCGUUAUCGAGAGUACCUGAAGAAAAAGCAUCGGCUAACUCCGUGCCAGCAGCCGCGGUAAUACGGAGGAUGCGAGCGUUAUCCGGAUUGAUUGGGUUUAAAGGGUGCGUAGGCGGAAUGCCAAGUCAGCGGUAAAAUCGCGGGGCUCAACCUCGCUCCGCCGUUGAAACUGGCGUUCUUGAGUGGGCGAGAAGUAUGCGGAAUGCGUGGUGUAGCGGUGAAAUGCAUAGAUAUCACGCAGAACUCCGAUUGCGAAGGCAGCAUACCGGCGCCCAACUGACGCUGAAGCACGAAAGCGUGGGUAUCGAACAGGAUUAGAUACCCCUGUAGUC